This 733-nucleotide ribosomal RNA is filed under the name Diatrype camelliae-japonicae. RNAcentral's name for it is "Diatrype sp. SL-2022a partial large subunit ribosomal RNA". It matches the Rfam family "Eukaryotic large subunit ribosomal RNA", at positions 111 to 866 of the family's 3401-position model. Lineage: Eukaryota; Fungi; Ascomycota; Sordariomycetes; Xylariales; Diatrypaceae. The record is from RNAcentral.
AAAUUUGAAAUCUGGCCUUCGGGUCCGAGUUGUAAUUUGUAGAGGAUGCUUUUGGUGCGGUGCCUUCCGAGUUCCUUGGAACAGGACGCCUUAGAGGGUGAGAGCCCCGUACGGUUGGACACCAAGCCUUUGUAAAGCUCCUUCGACGAGUCGAGUAGUUUGGGAAUGCUGCUCUAAAUGGGAGGUAAAUUUCUUCUAAAGCUAAAUACCGGCCAGAGACCGAUAGCGCACAAGUAGAGUGAUCGAAAGAUGAAAAGUACUUUGAAAAGAGGGUUAAAUAGCACGUGAAAUUGUUGAAAGGGAAGCGUUUAUGACCAGACCUUUGUCAGGCGGAUCAUCCGGUGUUCUUCACCGGUGCACUUCGCCUGGCUCAGGCCAGCAUCGAUUUCUGUAGGGGGACAAAGACCAUGGGAACGUAGCUCUCUUCGGGGAGUGUUAUAGCCCUAGGUGUAAUACCUUUACGGGGAUCGAGGUUCGCGCUUCUGCAAGGAUGCUGGCGUAAUGGUCAUCAAUGACCCGUCUUGAAACACGGACCAAGGAGUCGAACAUUUAUGCGAGUGUUUGGGUGUUAAACCCUCACGCGUAAUGAAAGUGAACGGAGGUGAGAGCCUUGUAUUAGGUGCAUCAUCGACCGAUCCUGAUGUAUUCGGAAGGAUUUGAGUAAGAGCAUAACUGUUCGGACCCGAAAGAUGGUGAACUAUGCGUGGAUAGGGUGAAGCCAGAGGAAACUCUG